RNAcentral lists this ribosomal RNA (247 nucleotides) under uncultured archaeon. RNAcentral describes it as "partial 16S ribosomal RNA". It matches the Rfam family "Archaeal small subunit ribosomal RNA", at positions 691 to 937 of the family's 1478-position model. The record is from RNAcentral.
CCGACGGUGAGAGACGAAAGCUGGGGGAGCAAACCAGAUUAGAUACCCGGGUAGUCCCAGCCGUAAACGAUGUGCGUUAGGUGUAUCGGUGACCACGAGUCACCGAGGUGCCGAAGAGAAAUCGUGAAACGUACCGCCUGGGAAGUACGGUCGCAAGGCUGAAACUUAAAGGAAUUGGCGGGGGAGCACCACAACAGGUGGAGCCUGCGGUUUAAUCGGACUCAACGCCGGAAAACUCACCAGAUAA